RNAcentral lists this long non-coding RNA (200 nucleotides) under Solanum tuberosum (potato). RNAcentral's name for it is "long non-coding RNA (STUB_LNC004613)". Lineage: Eukaryota; Viridiplantae; Streptophyta; Magnoliopsida; Solanales; Solanaceae. The record is from RNAcentral.
UAUAUCUACUACUUAUAUAUAAGUGUGAAUGUGAGGGUAUUUUUGGUAUUUACUAGCUUUUGCUCCUUAAAACUUUUGUAUGUCAAUGCUUUAUAAUUGUACCUUUUCUUCUUUAGACCAAAAAACCAGCCAACAUCUCUAUAAUGACACAUAUAUCCAUCAUAAAGUUGUACUCUUUAAUUAAUUUAAGUGGGCCCCAC